This 402-nucleotide unclassified non-coding RNA is filed under the name soil metagenome. RNAcentral's name for it is "partial contains 5.8S ribosomal RNA, internal transcribed spacer 2, and large subunit ribosomal RNA". The stretch from base 1 to 121 matches the Rfam family "5.8S ribosomal RNA", at positions 35 to 154 of the family's 154-position model. The record is from RNAcentral.
GAUGAAGAACGUAGUGAAAUGCGAUAAGUAAUGUGAAUUGCAGAAUUCAGUGAAUCAUCGAAUCUUUGAACGCACCUUGCGCCCUUUGGCUAUUCCGAAGGGCAUGCCUGUUUGAGUAUCAUGAACACCUCAACUCUCAUGGUUUGCCAUGAUGAGCUUGGACUCUGGGGGUCUUGCUGGCCUAUGGUCAGCUCCUCUCAAAUAAAUCAGCUUGCCAGUGUUUGGUGGCAUCACAGGUGUGAUAACUAUCUACGCUUGUGGUUUUCCAUCAGGUAACCUUCAGUGAUGGAGGUUCGCUGGAGCUCAUAAAUGUCCCUCCUCAGCGAGGACAGCUUUUUGAACGUUUGAUCUCAAAUCAGGUAGGACUACCCGCUGAACUUAAGCAUAUCAAUAAGCGGAGGA